CAGGAGCUCUUAAACUCCCAAACCCACUGUAAACUUUACCUUUACGUUGCUUCGGCAGGCGGCCCCUGGGAGGGGCUGUGGCCUUUACUGGUGCCUGCCGGAGGUUUUACAAAACUCUUUUUGUUGUACAUCUGAGUUUAUAUUUAAAUAAUCA
Molecule: unclassified non-coding RNA, 154 nt
Filed under: uncultured Sordariomycetes
Lineage: Eukaryota; Fungi; Ascomycota; Sordariomycetes
Description: sequence contains ITS1
Source: RNAcentral